Molecule: ribosomal RNA, 222 nt
Filed under: uncultured Acinetobacter sp.
Lineage: Bacteria; Pseudomonadati; Pseudomonadota; Gammaproteobacteria; Moraxellales; Moraxellaceae
Description: partial 16S ribosomal RNA
Rfam family: Bacterial small subunit ribosomal RNA
Source: RNAcentral
ACGGGGGGUUUAAGCGAGGAGGAGGCUACUAGUAUUAAUACUACUGGAUAGUGGACGUUACUCGCAGAAUAAGCACCGGCUAACUCUGUGCCAGCAGCCGCGGUAAUACAGAGGGUGCGAGCGUUAAUCGGAUUUACUGGGCGUAAAGCGUGCGUAGGCGGCCAUUUAAGUCAAAUGUGAAAUCCCCGAGCUUAACUUGGGAAUUGCAUUCGAUACUGGAGC